This 68-nucleotide microRNA precursor is filed under the name Gasterosteus aculeatus (three-spined stickleback). RNAcentral describes it as "miR-430 microRNA precursor family". It matches the Rfam family "miR-430 microRNA precursor family". Lineage: Eukaryota; Metazoa; Chordata; Actinopteri; Perciformes; Gasterosteidae. The record is from Rfam by way of RNAcentral.
CAGAUAACUUCAAACAGAGCCACUGGUGAUGAUUUAGUUCAUAAGUGCUUCUCUUUGGGGUUGUCUUA